RNAcentral lists this ribosomal RNA (274 nucleotides) under uncultured bacterium. RNAcentral describes it as "partial 16S ribosomal RNA". It matches the Rfam family "Bacterial small subunit ribosomal RNA", at positions 523 to 796 of the family's 1533-position model. The record is from RNAcentral.
AUACGGAGGGUGCAAGCGUUACUCGGAAUCACUGGGCGUAAAGCGCGCGCAGGCGGCCCGAUAAGUUGGAUGUGAAAGCCUACGGCUCAACCGUAGAACUGCAUCCAAAACCGUCGGGCUAGAGUCUGGGAGGGGAAGAUGGAAUUAGUUGUGUAGGGGUAAAAUCCGUAGAGAUAACUAGGAAUACCAAAAGCGAAGGCGAUCUUCUGGAACAGUACUGACGCUGAGGCGCGAAAGCGUGGGGAGCAAACAGGAUUAGAUACCCUAGUAGUCC